CAAGUAAAUAUGUGUUCUUCGGAAUAUGCAUUUUCAAACCCCUCUGUGUACCUCACCUGUUGCUUCCGUGCUGCGUGGAUUUCGGUCCCCUCCCUUGCAGGAGUGCCGGCACGGCUAACAAAAUUCUUGCAUUUCAUGUCAUCUGUCUGAACUGUUAAAUACAAAAAGUU
RNAcentral lists this unclassified non-coding RNA (170 nucleotides) under uncultured fungus. RNAcentral's name for it is "sequence contains ITS1". The record is from RNAcentral. Lineage: Eukaryota; Fungi.